UCCCUCGAGCCGGAUUUGAACCAGUGACCAAAGGAUCACGGUGAAUACAUCUACAGUCCUCCGCUCUUCCAACUGAUCUAUCGAAGG
Cordylochernes scorpioides is the source of this 87-nucleotide non-coding RNA. The record is from the annotation of a GenBank genome assembly. Lineage: Eukaryota; Metazoa; Arthropoda; Arachnida; Pseudoscorpiones; Chernetidae.